This 1026-nucleotide ribosomal RNA is filed under the name Triticum aestivum (bread wheat). Its description in RNAcentral is "partial small subunit ribosomal RNA". Lineage: Eukaryota; Viridiplantae; Streptophyta; Magnoliopsida; Poales; Poaceae. The record is from RNAcentral.
AUGGCGCAGAGGGCGCUGGAGCUGACCCUGAUAUCGGGCAAGGACCUCAAGGACGUGAACCUCUUCUCGGCCAUGGAGGUGUACGCGGUCGUCUCCCUCUCCGGCGACCCGCGCUCGCGCCAGCGCGUCGCCACCGACCGCGCCGGCGGCCGCAACCCGACCUGGAACGCGACUGUCCGGUUCACCGUCCCCGCCAACGCCGCGGGGUCCGUCCACGUGCUGCUCCGCGCCGAGCGCGCCCUCGGCGACCGCGACGUCGGCGAGGUCCACAUCCCGCUCUCCGAGCUGCUCUCCGGCGCCCCUGAGGGCCCUGUUCCGGUCAAGUUCGUCGCCUACCAGGUCCGCAAGAUCGGGUCCGGGAAGCCCCAGGGGGUCCUCAACUUCUCGUAUAAGCUCGGCGAGGUGACACAGGGCCAGGCCGCUGGCGCCUACGGUGGUGCGCAGGCCGCGUACGCGCAGCCUCCCCCCGCCGCCGCGUACCCGCCGCAGGGCGCGUAUCCUCCGGCCGGCAAGGCCGACGGGGCAGCAACCGCUGGUGCCUACCCGCCUCCCUCCGGCUACCCACCCGCUGGCAAGACAGGCGAGCCAUCCACCGCCUACCCCGCACCCGCCGGCUACCCACCCGCUGGUCCGUCAGGAAAGCCGGCGAAGGCAGGCGAGCCAGUGACGGCCUACCCAGCGGCCGCGGCGGGACCCAGCACCGGCGCUCCCUACGGCGCCCCGCCCCCGCAGUACGGCUACGGGUACCCACCGCAGCAGCCGGCCGGGUACGGCUACCCGCCCCCGCCGCCGCAAGGAGGGUACGGCGGCUACGGCUAUCCACCACAGCAGCCCGCCGGGUACGGGUACCAGCAGCAGGCCGUGAAGCCGCCGAAGAAGAGCGGCAUGGGGAUGGGCCUCGGCGCGGGGCUCCUCGGAGGCGCGCUCGGCGGGCUCCUCAUCGGCGACAUGAUCUCCGACUCCGCCGGCGGGUAUGAUGCCGGCUACGACGCCGGGUUCGACGACGGCGGUGGCUUCGAUUUCUAG